This 736-nucleotide ribosomal RNA is filed under the name Streptomyces sp. EAL2A. RNAcentral's name for it is "bacterial SSU rRNA". It matches the Rfam family "Bacterial small subunit ribosomal RNA", at positions 65 to 815 of the family's 1533-position model. The record is from RNAcentral. Lineage: Bacteria; Bacillati; Actinomycetota; Actinomycetes; Kitasatosporales; Streptomycetaceae.
UACGAUGGAACCGCUUUCGGGCGGGGAUUAGUGGCGAACGGGUGAGUAACACGUGGGCAAUCUGCCCUGCACUCUGGGACAAGCCCUGGAAACGGGGUCUAAUACCGGAUAUGACCGUCUGCCGCAUGGUGGAUGGUGUAAAGCUCCGGCGGUGCAGGAUGAGCCCGCGGCCUAUCAGCUUGUUGGUGAGGUAGUGGCUCACCAAGGCGACGACGGGUAGCCGGCCUGAGAGGGCGACCGGCCACACUGGGACUGAGACACGGCCCAGACUCCUACGGGAGGCAGCAGUGGGGAAUAUUGCACAAUGGGCGAAAGCCUGAUGCAGCGACGCCGCGUGAGGGAUGACGGCCUUCGGGUUGUAAACCUCUUUCAGCAGGGAAGAAGCGAAAGUGACGGUACCUGCAGAAGAAGCGCCGGCUAACUACGUGCCAGCAGCCGCGGUAAUACGUAGGGCGCAAGCGUUGUCCGGAAUUAUUGGGCGUAAAGAGCUCGUAGGCGGCUUGUCACGUCGGUUGUGAAAGCCCGGGGCUUAACCCCGGGUCUGCAGUCGAUACGGGCAGGCUAGAGUUCGGUAGGGGAGAUCGGAAUUCCUGGUGUAGCGGUGAAAUGCGCAGAUAUCAGGAGGAACACCGGUGGCGAAGGCGGAUCUCUGGGCCGAUACUGACGCUGAGGAGCGAAAGCGUGGGGAGCGAACAGGAUUAGAUACCCUGGUAGUCCACGCCGUAAACGGUGGGCA